This 9390-nucleotide long non-coding RNA is filed under the name Malus domestica (apple). RNAcentral's name for it is "long non-coding RNA (MDOM_LNC002086)". Lineage: Eukaryota; Viridiplantae; Streptophyta; Magnoliopsida; Rosales; Rosaceae. The record is from RNAcentral.
UCGUCAUCAAGCUCCAGAACUGCUCGGGUCUUUAUCAAAGAAUCCAACUUGAACCGAUUAUUCAGUGAGUUUUGUUUCUCUAAUCUGAUCCUAACUGGCACUGUGGAGUCAAAAUCUCUAACUUUAGGUGGUAUUCCUUUGUUCCACACCACAACAAUUUCUCGCACCGAGGAACAUCUGGAAUAAUGUUUAACAUACAUUUUCAAAUUCCAGAGACGAGCAUCAUAGGUCAUUGUUAAUAAGGUGAACUGCGAGUAGUGACCUUUCCAUUGGUAAGCUUCUUCUGCACCGCUACCACCAUAGAUACAUUUAACCCCUGUGCACAUAGCCGCAACUCCAAAUGCCAAAAUUAUAGCAAGAACCAGUCUUCCAGCACAGGUACUAGGUUUAAUCCUACCUCUGAGGAAUGAAACUCCUCUGUUCAAGCGGCUGCAAAACCGUCUCACUUUGGCUGAAAACAAAUGUGACCCUUCCCAGGCCAAGAACGCAUCACUCCGCUUCCCGGAGUUGUGAGUGUACCAAUUGAGAGGAAUCAUGCACUUCACAGCUCCAAGUAGUACACCCAGCAAUAUAAUGAGUACAGCAACAACGGCAACUGAAGCACUACCAAAAAUAAACCUCCGAACUGAAUCCCCAGAUGGUACCCGGUCUCCAUCCAUCACUCCAACCCACUCACCAGUAUUUAUUUGCUGCACAUCUAGAUGAUGAUGGCGAGCACCAUUCCAUGCAUUGCGACCCUUACUUGGCUCCAUCAAGCCCAAGGGAACUUCAACUUCUUUGUAAUCAUCUUUGGUAAGAACUUCCACCUUAAAGGUGCGCACUCUUCUCCCAUAUGUUUCACCACAGUCUUGACCAACACGAUAAAGAUUCCGUUGUAGAAAAAUGGUCUGCCUCCAUUUCGAGCCCCAAAGCUCUUGUCGCCAUUAUAUAUAGGAUUCUUCUUGUGUGGUUUCCAAGGACCAAGAGGGGAGCUGCUAUACCAGAUUUCCAAUUGUCCAUUCUUUGUGGUGACAAAUCCAGUGUUAUCUGAACUAAACAACCAAUACGCUCCAUUAUAAUUGAUUAUGAAAGAAUCAACAAGAGGCUUUUUCAUGAUCACUUUCUCCAGAGUCCAUUGCAAUGGAAAAUUGAGUGCUCGGUACAGACGAAGUUCCCCUUUCAUACUACUCUCAGGCAUCAUAUAUAUCUGUAAGAAACAAUAAGAAAGAAGUUAUACAACAGAUAUCAAAUUUACCCCAGAAAAUUAGGUGAUAGGUGCUUUUUUUUUUCUGCAGGCGAUAGGUUUUUUUUUUUUUUUCCUGCAAUCAAUGUGUUCCGUUAAGCUGCAACUUGGCCAAGAUGUGUCGAACAAUUGUUUAGAAAUAAUUUGUUACAGUUAUUUACUUUCAUUCACGCUGGUGAUGGGAUCUAUUGGGCCAGUGUGGACGUAAAAAGAAAUGCAUUCUUACUUGGCCAAGGUAGUUAAAGACAUAUGGGUAAGAGAGAUGCCACUCUUCAUCCAAGGCAGUGCCCAAUUGCUGCCAUGUUGCUCCCUUAUCAAUACUUUUUGAGACUCCAAUAUCCCCUUGCAAAGUGAUUGAAUUUUUGGUUUCGUAGAACAGGUAAAAAGUAUCUCCCUGAAACAAGAAGCAGAGAUGUUGAGUAGAAUGAACCAAGUAAUUCUAAAAACACUGCUAACAGUCCCAAAAGGUCCAUGAGCUGGGAGAAUCAUAGUACAGCUGAAUUUAAAAAAUAAAUGGUCGUACCCAGUACACAAGGCUCCCGCUUUACGCAGGGUCUGGGAGAGGUGAAUGUCGGCUAGCCUUACCCCCAUUUAUGGAGAGGCUGCUCCCAAGUCUCGAACCCGAGACCUACCGCUCAUGGGCGAAGGCACUUGCCAUCGCACCAGUGCGACCUCUUAAAUUUAAAAAAUAUAAAAUAUAAAAUAUAAGGGAUCAAACACAAACUAAUUACAAUGACAAAAUAUACUUGACAACUUAUAUUGGCUGUCCCUUUCAGGGCAACUACAUUCUAAGUAGACAACAAUAUCAUGACAAUUUUAGUAAGUGGUGGUCCCGGGCAAAGCACUGUCGGAAUACAAACAGGGUCUUAUAUUUGUCAAGUUACUGGAAUACCUAUAUCCAAUAUGAUCAGCACCCAGUAAAGUCAGGUGAUACCAAUAUCAAAACAAUCUAUUAAUAAAAUGACAAAAGGCAAGUCUUUUUCGCCACAAGAACGAUACAGCGAAGAAAAGGAACCCCAUGUUAGCAAGAAAGAGGGACUCUCUCGCUACCAUUUGGAUCCAUUUCAAAAUCAUGUUUUGCUAGAGAAAGAGGAAUCAACCAAACACACCCAUGAACAACCACAUCAACCACACCAUCAUGCACUUAAUGUCCACCACAUACCUCUCCUUACUACAAAUUGGCUACAUGACACCCACAGAUUGAUCACAGAGAUGACAAAGAAUAUCGGUGCUUUCAGAAGAUUGAAUCUGACAAGAAUUAUCAUUCUGCAUCAAGUGUGUAUGAGUUAGGAAGACAAAUGUUAACCUAACACUAGCUAGCAUCCAACAAUGGGGCGUUUGACCAAAAGCAGUAGUAUGUUCAAUAAAAUAGCAACUCAAGACAAGGAUACAUCUCAAAAUCUCUAUUUCUCAAUUUUUUCAUGUUAUAGCAUUCUACACAAAAGGCGUAAUCAGAGAAGUAUCAGUUUCCCAAAAAAUCAUUACCAUAUAGGAUAAACUUCCAAGGCUCCUCCUAUCAUAAGGGCCACAAAAACUUAAGGUCAUCAUUAGGCUUUUGAAGCAAAUAGGAUAAACUUCAAACACAAAACACAGAAACUUCUAGUAUAGAGAAUAACUACAGAAAAUUUAUGGCAUCCAUUAUGGUUAAUGUCUGAAGUGAAAAUACUCAUAAGAAUUAGAUUAUUGUAAGGUAAACAAAAUCAAUUGAAAAUGAUAAGGCACUAGAUCGAAACAUUCACUAGUUCACCGUCAUCAUCAUGUCCAUGCUUUCCAUAUUCAUAUAAGUUACCUACUGAAGCAUUAAUACAGGAUCAUUUUCUCAACCAAGAACCAAUAAAAAUAUUUUUCAAUUACUAUCAGCCACACAGUGUAAUGCUCCAGAACUCCCUAAUUCCAUAUUGACAAACAAAAUUAGAAGGCCUACAAUCAACUUUCAUCAGAACAGUGAGGUAAGGCAUAACUCAAAAUAAUCUGGAUUGCCACUGUCACAAUCAUGGGCUUCAGAGAUGUUAAUGCAAAAUACUCAAAUGAAUGCACAACCUAACAAUUCAAACUCUAUCAACAUCACUAAUGUCUUUACAAAACGAUAUCAUCUGCUCGCUUAAACUUGUUAUAACUGUUGCUACAAACAAGAGAAGAAAAAGUAUUGUUGAAACCUUACAACUUAAGUGUACCAAAUCCCGAUUCCAGCCCUCUAAAUCUGACCCAAGGAAAAUUGAUUAUAAUUUGUACCCUACCAUAUCCAUUUAAGCUCUAAGCCUGAAAUCAUUUAAUCUUCAAAGUUAUAUGAGAAACACUGCAUAAAUACACUGCAGUAACAAUUCACUCAAUGUGUAAAAUAUACAAGCUCAUGAAAUUUCGAGUUCUGGACAAUAUUGUACAGUAAUUUGAUCUUCGAAUUCUGCAUAUCAGUCCCAAACUGAAUUGACAUGCAAUCAAUCAUACAUUAGAACUGUUAAAAAAAAAAAACUAAAAUAUUUGAAGGGCAGAGCUAAUACCUGGACAUAAAGGAAAGGAUCAGCAACAAAAUUACUUGGGAAACCAGCAACAGAAACAGAAGAACAAGUCACAACAGGAUUCGCCACGGGCCAAGCUGCAGUUUUGUCCCUCCAUACAUCCAUCUGCACCAAAAUCCAACCCAGUUUCAAAAUUCAAAUCUCCAAAAAUUCAUAAUUUAACAAAUAUUUGAAAAAAAACAAAAACAAUAUCCAAACACGUCAAAAUCAAAAGAAGAUCAAUUCAUCAAGGCCAAUUCAAAUCUCCAAAAAUUCAUUAUUUAACAAAUAUUUAAUACUCAGGAAAAACCCACACUUCCAGCAAGGCCAAUUCAUCCCAAACAUGUCAAAAUCAAAAGAAGACCAAAUUGAAAAUUCCAAGCCAAACCCACAGAACCCCAAAAGCAAACUAAAAUUUAAAAAUAAAUAUACAGAAAAAUAUACACACCCCAUACAGUUAAAAAGAAAAAGAAGAAAUCUUACAGCUUCAAUGGGCUUGAGGGAAAAAGGAGAGUCUCCGAAGAAAAUACCAAGAGACCAUGAACCUUCAUUGUCCUCCUGACACCCAAGCAUGGAGGGAGAGGCCAACGCCGCCCGAGCAUAAUACGGCGGGAAGGCGAACCAGACAUAAACCGUGGCGACUGAUCCGAACAACACGAAGCACCCCAAGAAGAACACCAACCCCGACGACAUUAGAUACCUCCACCUGCACCUGCACUUCACGCUCAUGUUGCAGCAGGUGCCGCCGCUACUACCCCCACCAUUCGCACGACCACCACCCACAGCACCGCCGCCACCCGAGGCCGGACUCAAACCCAUUUUUUCCCAGAACGACACCGGACGCGAACGCAGGAUGGGGUGUCACCGCCGCAGGAAGAACGCCGUAACAACCGCCACCGGCAUUUGGGUUUGAUUAAUUGUCUGAUUAGUAAGCGCGUUUUUACGUGAUGAUUGGAAUUUAGACGUCCUGGGUUUUGGAAAAAUGAAAAAGGUGACGGGGCGGGACAGAGAUUUACUUUCGAGAAUUAAAUUUUUUUUUCCAGAAAUUUUUUGAGUUGGUGGUUUUAUACAGAAAGCGUUUUAGAGGACGACAAUGCGACAAUGUUUUCCAUGUUAUGAGAGAACAAGAGUCUGUUUAUAUAGAGCGGUCCGCCGAUCAAAUCCUUAUUAAAUUACUGUACUACUACUGAGUGAUCAUCGUAUAAAAUCCCACUUUACUCUUUUAAAUAAAAUAUAUUACAUGUUCGGGAAUUUUUAUUGAUAUUUUAAAAGCACUUUAAAUUUUUUAUAAUUAAAGAAAAAAACAUAUAUUUAUAAAAAAUUUAAAGUGAUAAUAACAAUUGCUAUUUGUUUUUGUUUAAUUCUUGCAGCAAAACAAAAACGUCUUUUUUUUUUAAUUAUGUUGGUGUUUCCAAAACAUACAGCUCUUUUGGAAGUUGGUUAAGCUCAAGUUUACAAGAAAACUUGUGUGGUGCUGGUGCUAAUCUACCACUUGACAAUGUUGAGUAACAUUAUCACGGCAGUCUUAUCAUGUUUUCUAAUUUUAUAUCAAAAUAACGUCAAAACUUGAAGCAUAAUUUUUGAAAAAAAUAUAAAACAAAAUAAAAACUAAAAUGGUAAACACAAAUCACAACCCCUCUCUGGUUUCGGGUUCCAUUGAAACUUCGAAGUUAAACAAGUUCGCGCUAGAGCAAUCUCAUAAUGAGUAACCCACUGGAAAGUUUUAGUCUGAGUUAUCAGAAACAAAACUGUGAUGGCGUGAUCAGGGCCCAAAACGAAAAAUAUCGUGUUAAAUUGGAGGGUAUCAGGCAGCUUAUGUUAUGGACCUAUUGAAUUGGAAGGUAUCAGUCAAUGAAAGGGAGUGGGAUAAGUGGAGAGAAGGUUUUUAUUAAGUGACCCUUCAAACAUACUCAUAUCAUUAAGAUAAUCAGUAAAAAUUGAAAAUUCAUAAUGCAAUUCAUGAAUAUAAGUGUCACAAAUUAAUGUAAGCUGACUUAAUAAUAUUUCAUCUUGUUGAGUCUCUGGAAUAUAUUUAUUCAUAUUUAUUAUUAGAAUAUUUAUUUUAUUGCGGAUUGUUGACAUAUAUCCAACAGAAAACCUAUAAAAACAUGUAUGACGUUCACGGAUGUCGGAUAUACUGGCAAGCUACAAACACCGUUCCGAGAAUUCAAAGGGGCAAUAGUAUUAUACAGAACAAAACUCUUAAGUCUGAUGUUUCAACAGUCCGAUAUUCUAUGUUCUCUUAGAGUAUAAGAUAUUCGAGUGUUUUAAUUAAAUUUUCGUUUAAAGAUAUAAAAUUAUAAUUUAAUGGUUAAAGCACGGGAUAUAUAUUUCAGAGCAUCAUUGAAUUUUUGUAAAGAAAUUAAGAAAGAAUUAAACAUAAGUAAGAUGAGUUUGUUUUAGAGCCAUUUUAUCCGUUUUUCUCUUAAUCGCACACGCAGCAGAGAGUUGGAAGCAAAGGAUGUGUGGAUGGUAUAGGGACUUCUGUAACACGGCAUGUGGUACAUGACAAUAUAUAGUAUUUUGAUGGCGACUAGGCAGUGCAAUACAAACUUUUGUUCCGCAGGACCUUGCGCUAUGGACCUAUUGAAUUGGAAGGUAUCAGUCAGCUUACGUUAUGGACCUAUUGAAUUGGAAGGUAUCAGUCAAUGAAAGGGAGUGGGAUAAGUGGAGAGAAGGUUUUUAUUAAGUGACCCUUCAAACAUACUCAUAUCAUUAAGAUAAUCAGUAAAAAUUGAAAAUUCAUAAUGCAAUUCAUGAAUAUAAGUGUCACAAAUUAAUGUAGUCUUUUCAUUACAAUUUUCAUCAAAAUUUAUGUUAGUUUGAUAAUGUAACAAAUAUGUGAAUCCACAAGUCUAUUAAAUAUUUCCAUAUGGAAAGAUUAAGAAGUUGAACAAUCUUUCGAGACUUAAUGAUAAGAAUCAUUCUUUUUGUGUGUAUUAUGUUGCCAUCGUUCUUUUGCCAUAUUUUUGUGGAUAUUGUGAAAUACAAUAUUCUAGCUAUAACAUUUGAUAAUAGUGGUUCAUAAAUUUUGUUAGUACCACGACAUAUUCAUAUACUUGAAAAGAUAUGAGGUAAGGUAUCGUUUGGUUUGUGGGACGGGAUGGAACGGAAUGGGACGAGGCGUUCUGUCCCACGUUUGGUGCGCCUAAAACGGGUGGAACACGCUGUUCCACAGGACGAGUUUUUGGUGAAUUUUCGUUCCACCUCACCCCCCUGGAACGACAUGUUCCACAUCCGUGGAACACAAAAUUAUAACAUCUCUGUCUCCUUCUUCUUCCUCCUUGUUUCCAUUCGAGGGCAUCUUUACUCCCUCUCCGUUCCGUCCUAUCCUGUCCCGUCCCGUCACGUCCCAUUUUGUUCCGUCCCAUCCCGUUUGCAUACCAAACGAUACCUAACUGCAUGAUGGGAUAAAACCCACAAUUUAAAUGAAUUUCUGUUUCAAGAAAAUUGCGGUACGCAAGCCUCGAUCUUUUGUUACUCUGCUUAAUUAAUAUUUCAUCUUGUUGAGUCUCUGGAAUAUAUUUAUUCAUAUUUAUUAUUAGAAUAUUUAUUUUAUUGCGGAUUGUUGACAUAUAUCCAACAGAAAACCUAUAAAAACAUGUAUGAUGUUCACGGAUGUCGGAUAUACUGGCAAGCUACAAACACCGUUCCGAGAAUUCAAAGGGGCAAUAGUAUUAUACAGAACAAAACUCUUAAGUCUGAUGUUUCAACAGUCCGAUAUUCUAUGUUCUCUUAGAGUAUAAGAUAUUCGAGUGUUUUAAUUAAAUUUUCGUUUAAAGAUAUAAAAUUAUAAUUUAAUGGUUAAAGCACGGGAUAUAUAUUUCAGAGCAUCAUUGAAUUUUUGUAAAGAAAUUAAGAAAGAAUUAAACAUAAGUAAGAUGAGUUUGUUUUAGAGCCAUUUUAUCCGUUUUUCUCUUAAUCGCACACACAGCAGAGAGUUGGAAGCAAAGGAUGUGUGAAUACGGAGGGGUAUAUAAUUUUACGGAUUUGGUAUAUUGGCGUCCAAAGAGCAAAUAUACCCGUCAAUUGGUGAUAGUACUAAGUACUAUAUACAUCGUUCCGCUAAGAUAAAUAUUUUACUUUCCAUUAAAUUGUCCAUGGAAGAGUUUUGGACCAACAAAACAUUCAGUUUCAUUCAUGAUUUGGUCGGACGGUUUCAUUUAUAUUUCGCAACUAUAUCACAACCAUGGUAGAUCAAUGCCAUCUAUAAAAAGACAAUAAUGCCCUUUUUAGGGCAAAAACUAUAAAGGUCAGCAUAGUUGAGAAUUUUCAUGCAACAGGAAUGACACUGUGAUGGUAUUUCAAGUUAAUUACAAACGUCGUAUCCAAAAAUCAACUUGAAAUACAUUCACAGUGGUUGAGUUUCUCUCCUAUCUUACACAACGUACACAAUUAUAGUAAUCAACCAUAUAACACAAUCAAGCACCAUUAUACAAUUUCCCUUGAUGCUACAUAUCCUCCACCCAAAUUUGUACACACUACUUAUCCGAUUAAACACAAAACAGUUCACCUUUUUCAUGAUUCAUUCCGGCAAUAUGCAAUCAAAGUACUUGGCAAAACAUCAUCUCUCAAACUAGUUCUACCCACAUGUAAAGCAGUAACGUCACAAUACAAACUUUUCCCCGCGGAGAGGCCAUGGGACGUCCAAAAUCAAGACGAUAAACACACAUACUAUAUCAAUUUCUAGCAAGACAUCAGUAAAACACAAAAACAAUGCACAUCUUACUAAUCAAAAUUCAAAUCUAUUGAUAACUAAAUUCCCCCACAAGAAAUUCACAAGGGAUGGGGAGGGGGAGGGGGAGGGGAAGGAGCAUACAAGGGAAUUACUAAAAGUUUACUAAAGGAUGAGACAAGGAUUAACAAAUUCAGGAGUUGUAAGCGACUAGCUACUAUACCUCCCUCACUAUACGUCCCAACCAUCCUUCCGCCCAUUGAAUUUCCACUUGCGCCUGGCCAAACUUCCGUACAUCUCAGAAAAUUUCAGGAGGCAGUUGCUCCUUAUAUGGUAGUGAACUUUGGUAUUUCGGCUUAUUGCAGCACCAGAUAAUUUUGAUGUAUCUAUUGCCCAUGCUGGCCUCACAUACUCCACAUUCUUGGAUUCACUAGCAUUUGCAUACAAGUAAUUCAGCAGCACGUCCUCGCAGUUGAAAUAUUUGUCCACCAAUUCCCUUGCUUGGCUAGCUUCUUUUCCCCAAUACCUCUUGAAAGCUACUUGACCAUCGAUGAAAGCUGCCCCCGUGAGAAUCAUGUUAUAUCCUUUAUGGGUCCGGGCAUAUUUCUCACCUCGAUACUUCAACGGGCUCCCAUCAAUUAAUCGGGGGUAGAAACCCACAAUACGGUCUGGGUGUUGACGCCAUAUUCUGAAUCCCCGCUCAACAUCAUUGCAAGUCAUCAUAAUGUCGUCAUCAAGCUCCAGAACUGCUCGGGUCUUUAUCAAAGAAUCCAACUUGAAGCGAUUAUUCAGUGAGUUUUGUUUCUCUAAUCUGAUCCUAACUGGCACUGUGGAGUCAAAAUCGCUAACUUUAGGUGGUAUUCCUUUGUUCCACACCACAACAAUUUCUCGCACCGAGGAACAUCUGGAAUAAUGUUUAACAUACAUUUUCAAAUUCCAGAGACGAGCAUCAUAGGUCAUUGUUAAUAAGGUGAACUGCGAGUAGUGACCUUUCCAUU